AACGAACGCUGGCGGCGCGUCUUAACCAUGCAAGUCGAGCGGCAGGCAGCAAUGCCGAGAGCGGCGGACUGGUGAGUAACCCGUGGAUAACGUACCCCGAUGUCCGGGACAGCCUGUAGAAAUAGAGGGUAAUACCGGAUAGAUCACUGUUUACGUGAGGUAGACAGCGGGAAAGGAGCUUCGGCUCCGCGACGGGAUCGGUCUGCGGCCCAUCAGCUGGACGGCGGGGUAAAGGCACGCCGUGGCGAGGACGGGUAUCCGGCCUGAGAGGGCGGACGGACACAUUUGGACUGUGAUACGGCACAGACUCCUACGGGAGGCAGCAGGUAAGAAUGGUACGCAAUGGGGGGAACCCGGACGGAGCGACGCCGCGUGGACGGAGAAUACCGGAAGGUUGUAAAGUUCUUUUCUGUCCGGGAAAUAAGUUUCGGAGGAAAUGCCGGGACGGUGACGGUAGGGCAGGAAUAAGCACCGGCUAAGUACGUG
This 486-nucleotide ribosomal RNA is filed under the name uncultured bacterium. Its description in RNAcentral is "partial 16S ribosomal RNA". It matches the Rfam family "Bacterial small subunit ribosomal RNA", at positions 29 to 507 of the family's 1533-position model. The record is from RNAcentral.